This 316-nucleotide long non-coding RNA is filed under the name Hordeum vulgare. Its description in RNAcentral is "long non-coding RNA (HVUL_LNC017813)". The record is from RNAcentral. Lineage: Eukaryota; Viridiplantae; Streptophyta; Magnoliopsida; Poales; Poaceae.
CCGCCUCUUUGCGUUUAUCUGCUCUCUUUGUUCGUCCGUCAAUUUUUUUUUAGCCCAACUGGAGGUAUCUGCCUUGUUUCCUUGGUGUUAUUCAAGACAGCUUCUUGUGUCAUAUUAGUUGGGUUAGCUAUUUGAACAAAGGAAACAAUCCAUCUUACUAAAAAGACAGUACCCAUGUACAAUGCUAACUCAUUAGGUUGAAACUUAAAAUAGAUAAGAAGGCUACCUGAUAUCGUAAGGGGAUCCACAUUUUCAUCUUGAUUAAGGGUACAUGAUAAUGACAACGAUGCAUCAUAACAAGCUUGCAUGUUUGAGG